Molecule: unclassified non-coding RNA, 229 nt
Filed under: uncultured fungus
Lineage: Eukaryota; Fungi
Description: sequence contains ITS1, 5.8S rRNA gene
Source: RNAcentral
UCUCCGUAGGUGAACCUGCGGAGGGAUCAUUACCGAGUGAGGGUCCUUGUGGCCCGACCUCCAACCCUUUGUGAAUCGUACUCGUUGCUUCGGGGGCGACCCUGCCGUUCGCGGCGUGGGGCCCCCGGAGCCCAUCAAACCCUGCGUAACCAAGUCGUCGGAGUUUAAACAAAUUAAACAAAACUUUCAACAACGGAUCUCUUGGUUCGGGCAUCGAGAAGAACGCAGC